AUACGGAGGGGGCAAGCGUUGUUCGGAAUUACUGGGCGUAAAGCGCGCGUAGGCGGUCUGUUUAGUCAGGCGUGAAAUCCCUGGGCUCAACCCAGGAAUUGCGUUUGAAACUGGCAGACUAGAGUUCGGGAGAGGAGAGUGGAAUUCCCAGUGUAGAGGUGAAAUUCGUAGAUAUUGGGAAGAACACCAGUGGCGAAGGCGGCAGCCUGGCCUAAUACUGACGCUGAGGUGCGAAAGCGUGGGGAGCAAACAGGAUUAGAUACCCCGGUAGUCC
Molecule: ribosomal RNA, 274 nt
Filed under: uncultured bacterium
Lineage: Bacteria
Description: partial 16S ribosomal RNA
Rfam family: Bacterial small subunit ribosomal RNA
Source: RNAcentral